GACCGCGGAAGCGGUAGGACACGCCCCCUCUUAUGCAAAUACAGCCGCGCGAGCUGUCGGUCUGGGGCGGAGGACCCCUCUGAUUGGCUGCAGCGAGGCCAUUUAUUGUGUGACAGCCCCCAUCACAUGGAUGGUUGUCUAUUAACUUGUUCAAAAAAGUAUCAGGAGUUGUCAGGCUCUCCUCUCUCUCCACUGCAAAGUGCCCAGUUGUUGGUUUCUAUAACUUGCAAAGAGUAACGAAAAUAUUAACAAAUUCCACGCUCGUUCCUUCACUUUUUGGUUUUGUUGACGGACCGAGACGAGAAAAGUUUCUUUUUUUAAAACCAACGCCAACCCCCUCCCCCUCCAAAAAAAAGACAUUGAAAACAAAAGCUCUCAGAACAUCAGGUUGAAUGUACAACAUGAUGGAAACCGAUCUCAAACCGCCCGCCCCACAACAAACUUCGGGGGGAACGGGCAACUCCAACUCGGCGGGAAACAACGCGAAAAACAGCCCAGACAGGGUCAAGAGACCCAUGAAUGCGUUUAUGGUCUGGUCCAGGGGCCAGCGGCGGAAAAUGGCCCAAGAAAACCCCAAAAUGCACAAUUCCGAGAUCAGCAAGAGGCUCGGGGCGGAGUGGAAACUUUUAUCCGAGGCCGAGAAGAGGCCGUUCAUCGACGAGGCGAAGCGGCUGCGAGCCCUGCACAUGAAGGAGCACCCGGAUUAUAAAUACCGGCCCCGGAGGAAAACCAAGACCCUGAUGAAAAAGGACAAGUACACUCUGCCGGGCGGCCUGCUGGCGCCCGGCGCCAAUGCAAUGAACGCCGGGGUCGGGGUCGGCGUCGGCGCUGGAGUCAACCAGAGGAUGGACGGUUACGCGCACAUGAACGGCUGGGCGAACGGGGGCUACAGCAUGAUGCAGGAACAGCUCGGCUACUCUCAGCACCAGGGCCUGAACGCUCACAACGUGGCCCAGAUGCAGCAGAUGCACCGCUACGAUAUGAGCGCGCUGCAGUACAACUCAAUGACCAGCGCUCAGACCUACAUGAACGGCUCGCCCACCUACAGCAUGUCCCCAGCCUACACGCAGCAAGGCACAGAUCAGCCUACCCCGAGCGAAGAGGGACUCUAUCAACCGUGUCAAGCGCGUCUUUGCCGGCCAGGGUCAGACAGCUUUGGUCAAAUUAAUUAUUGAUAAAACCUACAGAUGCAAUCGUGGUCAGACCUUUCUAAAGAAAGCAUGAUGUCCCACCCACAUGAUCUUUAUCGCAGUGUAAUAUGCUUAUAUGAAUGCAAACAUAGCAUUAAAUACAAUAAUAAAGUGCAUCUCAAACGCCAAAUGCAUCAAAUUUAAACGACUGCUUGCUGACUAUAAUCUACCUUCUAAUUUUAGAUUUUAUAAUUUUCCAUUUAUAUUUGUAGUAAACUUGUCAUUUCAUGGCCCUAAUGCACCAUAAGCGAAUAUGUUUUGGUAUAAAUCCGCUGUACUUGUUGUGGAGAUUACCUGACAAUAAUAUACAUUGAAUGAGAAUAGAUAAGCUAACGGAACAUGAACUAAUAAUUACAAUGCUGAAUUAAAUCAGCUAGGGGGUUCUCAAUCGAGACCUUUGUAUAUUGGUCCAUUGAGGGUUCCAGCUGACAGCGUUUUGACAGAAAAUAGCCUCAAACCUGCAGUGUGCCUCGGAGGGGCAAGCGAUACCGCUAAAGUGGAAGUGUGAUGGGAUUCCCAUUUAAAGCUGUUACCUCGCGACAAUAAAAUGCCGCCUUUCUGCUAGGAAGGUUUAACUUCCAAUAACUCACCAACACUGAGAUAAAGCCCAAGAGUCACAGUAAAUAAAGACAAUUCAGAUCGUGGGGAUCUCCUAUUCGACUUGAGAUUAAAAACGCGCAGAAAAGAUGUAACUUCCAUCGUGUCAACGGGGGAGCGUGUACAACAUCAUGCCGACCCUAAGGGUUUGCUUUUGGUGCAACAGGUGCCAUCAUAUAAUACAUUGCGAUUUCUCCAUUGGUCUUUGCCCAACGGAGAGUUUCUAAGACUGGGACACUUCUUUACACUUUAUAAAAAUAAGAUAACUUUUCCCUUUGAGGGGAAAAGGAUUAUUUUUGUUUAUAAUUGCGCCACUUCUUCAAGCAAUGCGUAAUGCAAUUUACGAAUGUUAUAGAAACGCAUUAUUUAGUCAGAUAAUGAAAGGAGGCAAGAGAAACUUUAAAUCGGCUAUCAUUGUCUUUCUUAUUCGAUGCCAAAUUCAUAUUUUGCCUUAGAUUGUCGGAAUAACUAGAGAUUUAAUUAGUUAAUUAAAUAGACCUCUAGUAUAAUAUUGGUUAACAUUAAUCUCCUCAUUUAACACUUAGGACAGCUUGCUAAAGAAAUCAUGGCGCAGACGGAUUAACGCCACAAACUGAGUUGUCAUAGCGAUUGUCUUCUUAAACUACACUUGGCAGCUUGUGGGACCUAUUGCUAUAUUAUAACUGAAAAAUGUAAACGACUUCAACCCCAAGUACAUGUCUUCCAAUUCCUCUAUUAAUCAAGUAGUGAUAGCUGCCGUAGCGUUGAAAGAAAAUAAAACAUGGAUUUUGUUUUGCCAGACUGAUAAUAUAUUUCAUUUCAGUGUUAUGCUAAUAUAUUUUCAAUAAACUACAUUUAUAUAAAUACACAGAUUUAAAACAGUGCAAGCAUCUGCGGUUGAUAUAUUAAUUUAAACUUUGUAAUUUUAAAUAUGUUUCUAUUCUUUUUGCGAGUCUUUGCGAACAUUGCCUAGAUUAAAAGAAUCGGUGGGCCUAUCAGGAGUUUGAUUAAAAUCUGCUCUGGCAACGGGGACAGGUUCACACCCUGACGUCAUCGCCCUUUGCUAGUUGGCUCCCAGAUUCCCACGGCUCCCAAUCCAGAACACCCCUUCCCACCUCCCACCGCCAUCACCCCACACCCCCCCCCCCCCCCCCAAACCAGGAUUUAACAUAAGUUCCCUUUAACGAUCUCAUAGCAUUUUAAAGAUCCCUUCCCUGACGCUGUUCAUUCACACUGACGCACUAAUCUUACAUACAGUAUGGAUGUAAAAGUUUCAAAGUAGCACCUUCUCCCUGAUCAAUUCGAUGAACAUAAACUUUGCACUUUGAAUGUGUCAGGUUCAACGGUUUUAGUUGUCUGCGUGAAUUCCUAAAAGCAAAGCACAUUUCUGUUCUAGUUUGGAGGAGAAAACAAUGGGCGACUCAAGUUAACUAUCGGUUGGACUGAAGUGAGCUGUAUAUCAGCAGGCUCACUGCAGCAUAACCAUCAAACCCUGGAGAAAGUGUCAUGAAUGAUCGAAAUUGUCCGCAAGGACUCAAAUGGCACGCACCAAAUUCCAUUCUGUGGCAGUCCUUUUUUUCAUUUUCACGCCAAGCAUUCACUUUUAACUCAGCAAAAGCCACUUUUUAAAGAAUUAAUAAUAUUUGCCGUCAUUAACAUAUUUUAGGACGAGAUGCGAAUUGAUUUUAACUGCCAAUGUAAAUAUUCGGAUGCAAAUACAUUUCAGUUUACUAAUCUUUUAAUUUCUUAGAUAUGUUAUGGUUCGGAAUCUGUCAGAUCCGCAACACCAAAUAAUUCUCACUGUUUUUUUAAUAUAAUAGCACAGGGUCAAAUUCGUAGAACUACAAAUGAAAGUGACAAAACCAGCCUAAAACGUCUUUAGCGGACAUUUGUACCUUGCGACCGUGAACAAAGUGUUUGCAUCUACUGAACAUAAUAAAAUCCUCGCAGUCAGUGCUUUAUGUAAAAGCAACUUGUGACUAUCCGAGUAUUAACGUCACAACGCAAUUUUUGUUUUUUUUUAAUCUGGCUUUAAAAUUAACGUGAAAACCAAAAAGUGACUCAGUAUACACUAACCGCAGUUGAGAGGGAGUAUUUGAAUUCCAGAAACUACGUAGCACUUUGAUAAUAACUGACGGACUAAGGAACUGAUCAGCAUUAAUAACUUGGAAAUAGCUGGCAGAUAGAUGGAAAGUAAUUAAGGUAUUAAAACAAGCAAUGCAUUCCUCCAGAGGACCUUAUCAACCAAGAACAGACUCAGCAUCCCCUCAAUAUGCUAAUAUAGGAAGAGUGACGUCACGGCUCCAACUUGCCGCCACCCAUUGCGGAAACAAGGUGUGAAGUUCUGGAAAGAAACUGAUGUUUCCCAUUCUCAUUGUAAUCAUUUAACUCUUAGCCACAGUUUUAAAAACGCCAAUCCCCUACUGUUAAGUGACUUGCCGCCCCUACUCCCAUCCCAUUAUUUGAUAGUCUAAGAUGUUAUAGUUUUGUUUGACGCAUAUGAUUUAGUAACUGAAAAAAGAAUCCGGAAUUUAAAACGAAAUGAACUUUUAAAACCAAAUGUUACUGAGGCGAUGGAUCAGAAUUUGGAUUUACCCAUUAAUGUACAGAAAAAUAUAUAGUGUGACAUGGUAUUCAUGUGGCUGAGCGAUUCAUAUCAGGUUCAAAUGAUACCAAAAACUUGCUAAGUUUUAUUUCAGGAGACGAAGAUCUGUGCAACAAAACAAAAAGCUCUGACCAGCAAUAACGAUUGGUUGUGUUUUGCAAGUAUGACAACCCGACUCGAUAAGAAGGACUUCUUUUUUUGCCUGGGAACAAUGCCAUCUACUUGCCCGAUGGGCCAUUAUCAGUUACGUUUCCUUGAGUUUAAUUCUGGAGCUGGCCAUGUAUCUAAACAGCUCCUAACAUGUUGCGAAUCAGAUUGCAUAAAUCAAAAGCUUUUAUUUAAUCUAAAAUAAAAAGGUCAUUAUUGUGAUAGCAAUCAAUAUAUGAUGGCAUACUUUCUUUUGAUUCACAAUAUAAGAGUCCAACUACUCUGAAACAUUUACUGACCAGUCGUUACUUUACUAUUUAAGUAAAAUCGCAGUUCGUUCCUUCAAUUUUCAGUCUACUAGGUUGGCAGAUCCAGUGCAGAUAUUUAUAUUAUGUGUAUAUUAUACACCUUAUAUACACAAAAUCCAC
Chiloscyllium plagiosum (whitespotted bambooshark) is the source of this 4946-nucleotide non-coding RNA. Lineage: Eukaryota; Metazoa; Chordata; Chondrichthyes; Orectolobiformes; Hemiscylliidae. The record is from RefSeq and is a predicted model, not a curated record.